This 222-nucleotide ribosomal RNA is filed under the name Triticum aestivum (bread wheat). Its description in RNAcentral is "partial small subunit ribosomal RNA". The record is from RNAcentral. Lineage: Eukaryota; Viridiplantae; Streptophyta; Magnoliopsida; Poales; Poaceae.
AUGACCACCACAGGACCAAGCCACGAAGAUUCGCUCAUGGACUGGUGGCUGCACGCCAGGCAAAACACGCCGACACCGAUGCGCAAAGGCCUAGACUCCAUUGCCCUCCUGACGCCGUGGAUGAUCUGGAAGCAACGCAAUGAGUGCAUCUUCGAUGGCGCCCAGCCCAUGGUUCACGUCCUAGUCUCCAGGAUCAAGGAUGAAGCCCAGCAGUGGGCAUGA